CAAAUCGGCCCAAUCCAAAUUCACCCCCAAAUCUCGCCGUGCCCUACACCAGACCGCACCUACCGCCGCCACAAGCACCGCACCACCACCGCUGCCCCCAACCAUCCAUCGCCGCCGACCACUGCCGCCGUCGCCUCUCACCCACCGCGCCCUCGUCGCCUCUCCCAACUACCCCAGCGCCGCAGACCGUCCUCCGCUCCGUCCACUGCCGACGCCGCCCCAAUCACCCCACAGCAGCGCCGCCGAGCACCCAACGGACAUGGAGCACCACCGGCACCGACCGGCCCCGUCGCCGAGCCACUCCACUGCCGACCACCCUCCUCCGUCGAACGCCUUCCAUCGCUACAUCGCGAGAUUCCUAUCUCAAGCAGGCGUCCUCCCCGCAAGCUUCACCCGAGCAGGGAGCCGGUCGCCACCACUCUUUCUGCCGUCCCACCUCGCAGCAAUCUGAGAUGCUACUGUCGCUACUGACUGUUGCCUACUUUGGGCCUUUUUAGACCUCCCAAGAAUUUAUCCCCUUAUCUGAUUAUAUAGUGGUGAGAUACAAAGAUGGAACAGGGUGCAGCACAAGGAAAGUGGCUGAGUAUGGAUGCGCCCCUUACCUCAUGAAAAGUGGACCUCAAGAUGUAUUCUAGCCACUAAAACCUUCACUGGAAACAGAGCUUUACUAUUAAUUGUUGAACGAGGCCACGAGCAAUGCAGCCUCUACCAUUACAUGUUCGCCUGUGAUUUUCAAACUGAUGAAUUUGGAGUAGAGACACUAUUGAUGUACACAUACCAAUCACCAGAUAAAGGAGUUAGAAGGAGGAAUUGAACACAUGAAGAGAGAGAGGGGGGGGGUAAUAGAGAGGAAUCUUCUGCAAUCCAUGGGGCAGAGCACAAUGCGACUUCCUCUGCUCGCUGCAAACCCGUCUGCAUCGUCCGUAGAGCAGAGCACAACUAGCAGCUCUGUAGCGACGCAACACUUCUGCUACCCAUCCAAAGAGUAAACCCUUCUUCAUCCUCGCCACAUGUAGUGCAGGUUGGCAUCACACUGGAAGAUCUUCUGGUCAACACGUAGUUGUACAAGUCAACUAGGAUGUCUACAUGGUGAUUCUUCUGUUCAGUGACAACACGAUCAAGUGGGGUGAGGCUUGUCUGUGGUCUUUCAAGCAGUACAAGUUUGAUGACUCUUCUGCUGGAGACACGUGGCCCUGUUUGAAUAAUGCAGCUUCACAUGAUGGCGGCGAGUCUGGUAUUCAGAACAUCUCAUGAAUAUGGCAAUGCCAUUCAACAAACGGCUGAGCAGAAAUAUACAAAAGUGUGAACCUGCCAUUGUUUCCUAGACAUAGCUGUAGCUGUAAGUCAAGCUCAUACUGUUUGAAGACAUAACAUCUUAUUAUCUGAUGUAAAUUAUGUUUACCAAUGUGGCUGGUUGUUACUGAACACAUCUAUGGAUAUUGAGAUCUUGAAUUUUUAGUCUUAA
Triticum aestivum (bread wheat) is the source of this 1465-nucleotide long non-coding RNA. RefSeq lists it as uncharacterized. The transcript is spliced from 5 exons. Lineage: Eukaryota; Viridiplantae; Streptophyta; Magnoliopsida; Poales; Poaceae. The record is from RefSeq and is a predicted model, not a curated record.